Molecule: long non-coding RNA, 1232 nt
Filed under: Lonchura striata (white-rumped munia)
Lineage: Eukaryota; Metazoa; Chordata; Aves; Passeriformes; Estrildidae
Description: domestica (Bengalese finch) lncRNA (ENSLSDG00000005452.1)
Source: RNAcentral
GUCCGUGUCACUCGCUGUGUGCCUGUGUGUGGCUCCGUGGGUGUCGCUCCUUGUGCGUGCGUGUGUCACUCCGUGUGUGCGGGUCCCUUCCUCGGUGCAUAUGUCACUCCCUCUCUGUCUGUGUGUCACUGUGCGUGUGUCGCUGUGUCUGUCACUGUGUGUCACUGUGUGUGUGUCACUGUCUGUGUCACUCUGUGUAUGUCAGUGUGUGUGUCAGUGUGUCACUGUCUGUGUCACUGUGCAUGUCACUGUGUCACUCCGUGUGUGUGUGGCUCCAUGUGUGUCACUGUGCGUGUCACUGUCUGUGCCACUGUGCGUGUCAAUGUCUGUGUCACUCCGAGAGUGUCAUUUAUGUGUGUCGCUGUGUGUGUCCCUGUGUGUGUUGGUGCAUUGUCACUCUCUGUGUCACUGUGUGUGUGUGUCGCUGUGUGUGUUCCUGUGUGUGUUGGUGCAUUGUCACUCUCUGUGUCACUGUGUGUGUGUGUCACUGUGUGUGUUCCUGUGUGUGUCGGUGCAUUGUCACUCUCUGUGUCACUGUGUGUGUGUCACUGUGUGUGUCCGUGUGUGUGUCGGUGCGUGUGUCGCUGCUGGCGCUGUCCCAGUGGGCACACAUCCCCGUGUCCGUAUCCGUGCCUGUGUCCGUGUCCAUUCCGUGUCCGUGUCCGUGUCCGUGUCCCUGUCCCUGUCCGUGUCCCUGUCUGUGUCCCUUUCCCUGUCCGUGUCCGUGUCCCUGUCCGUGCCCGUGUCUGUUCCGUGUCCGUGUCCAUUCCGUGUCUCUGUCUGUGUCCGUUCCAUGCCCGUGCCCGUGUCCGUGCCCGUGCCCGUGUCCAUGUCUGUGUCUGUGUCUGUGUCCGUGCCCGUGUCUCUGUCCGUGUCCGUGUCCCUGUCCGUGUUCCUGUCCAUGUCCGUGUCCCUGUCUCUGUCCGUGUCUGUGUCCCUGUCCCUGUCCGUGUCCCUGUCCCUGUCCGUGUCCGUGUCCCUGUCCCUGUCCGUGUCCCUGUCCCUUUCCCUGUCCGUGUCCAUGUCCGUGUCCCUGUCCCUGUCCGUGUCCAUUCCGUGUCCCUGUCCCUGUCCCUGUCCCUGUCCCUGUCCGUGUCCAUUCCGUGUCCGUGUCCGUGUCCGUGUCCGUGUCCCUGUCCAUUCCGUGUCCAUUCCCUGUCCGUGUCCGUGUCCCUGUCCGUGUCCGUGUCCAUUCCGUGUCCGUGUCCGUGUCCAUUCCGUGUCCGUGUCCG